This is a long non-coding RNA of Odocoileus virginianus texanus, 3181 nucleotides long. RefSeq lists it as uncharacterized. The record is from RefSeq and is a predicted model, not a curated record. NCBI's taxonomy places the organism in Eukaryota, Metazoa, Chordata, Mammalia, Artiodactyla, Cervidae.
CUCACUAUGGUAGCCAUAAGUACUAACGUUUCUGAGUGCUUACUACGUUAUCUCACUGAUCUUUUAUCACAGUUCAUUGCAGAAAAGUUUUUAUUGUCCUCAGUGUAUUGAAAAAGACUCAGAGAGCUUAAGUAACUUGCCAGAAACAAACAGCAAGUAAGUGACAGAGCAGGAAUUCACACCUAGGUGUGUAACUGUGCUCUGGUGAUGAGCUGAGGACUGUGGGCACCCAGGAGAGGCACCUGCCCAGCAUGGAGGUCAGAGAAAGCUUCCUGAAGGAAGGGGUCAGCUCGCUGUGGCCUACUGCAGUGUUUCUCAACAAGGACCCUGCUGGUCUGUAGGUGGGGAGUUCUUUAUUAUGACAGCAUCCCUGGCCACUCCUCUGGAUAUUUCCCAGGAGCACCCUUCAGUCAUCAUGACAACUGAGAAUGCUCACACACAUUUGAACGUCUGUUUUAUGAGCAGGAAGAUGUAUAGACCUUCAGCGUUGCAUUCAUCAGUACCCGCCCCCAGAGGGAACCGUCCUCACCACGUCUGUCACUGGAGAUGACUUGUCUGUUCUUGAUCUUGGUAUAAACGAACUCAGGAUACACGAAGCCCUCAGCCGUGAGAUACGAGGCCCCCUCCUGCCCACUGUCCAGCCAUACAGAGGGGCCUUCUCCCAGCUCGCCUUGCCCUUUCGCCUCUUCUGGCCUUUGCCGCUGCAGUCUUCUCUGCCUGGAGCACCCUCUGCACGGUCUGGUGAAUUCUCCUGGUCCUUUGGUCCUUGGGAUGCUCAGACAUCAAUUCCCUGUGCAGCUUCCUGGAUUUUCCCGCUGUGCCCUCCUAGGCACCCAUGUCCCACAGCCUCCAUUGACAUUUAGCACCUAUUCAACUCUGCUCACAGGACUGCAAGCUGGUUUGAGGGCAGGACUGGGGCUUAGUCAUCUGUAUAUCCUCACAGGUCCAACACACAGAGCCUGAUAGAAAAGAAACAGAUUUAAGAUUAUAGCAGGUCCCGUCUCAAGCUUACUUAGAGGCAAAUUGGGUCUAAAAAAGCUGUGCAAAAUAUAUCCAAACCACCCUCUGAAAUUGAUCAAAGAAAGGUGGUGGGGAAAAAAAAGUGUAAUCUCUGACCACAAAUGAUAAAUGUAGCAUUAAACUCACUACAGUGAGGCAGAGAGCUCCAGCCCUUGCCUAGAUGAUCUGGAUUCAUGGGAAAGCCAUGGACAUUGAUAAGUGCAAAGUGAUACAGUUCAGGGAGUCAAGGGGAUGGGCAAAAGAGUAGAGUCAAUCAAGGAGGGCUGCCUGGAGGAGGUGAGUUUCAAAGGUUUUUCAAAGAGGAGUCCGUUGAGCCAGAGCUACAUAAUCAAGGGUAAUCUAUAGAAAGCCUUAAAGCAUGAGCCAAGGCAGCCUGAAUCUGUCUUCUUGUGACUUUGGUCCUGAGUCUCACAUAGGUCCCCUUCCCUCACCUUUCACUCCUUUUCAUUCACUUCUUUCUUCCCUCGUUUCUCCUAUUUAAUCUCCUUUGCAUCUUCUUUACAAACUUGAAUGUGCAGAAGGAGCUGGAUAUACAUUGCUUGGCCUUCCAUCCCGUCCUCGGUGUGCUGGACUCCCCAUCUUGGAGGAGACAGAAGGAGGCCCAUCUCCUAUCCCCCCCCACCCCCAGCCUGGGCAGCUCACAGCAGUCAAGGUUAUGGACAAGAGAGCCAGGCAGCAGCCCAGGCUGGAGUGUGGUCCAUGGCCAGGUGCCGAGUUACAGAUCAAAACACUCGGGGGAGAAUUCAGCUGGAAGAGGGGUCAGUGUGUGCUGGAUUCCCUGGGGAGGCUUCCGGGAGGUGGCAUGAGCUUCGGCCGGCCCUGGCCACAGCUCAGGGGAGAGGAGCUGGGAGGCCUGUCCAGGAAGGAGGACCAGGGGAGACGCGGGCUGAGAAGCAACAGUGAGCACAAUGGUGUUCAUGAUGGAAGAGGAUCUGGGGAACCCCACGAAAUUGGGUUUUCAGCUCUUUGGGCCCCGCCCUUUCAGGGCCCUGUGUCUGACUCAAGGGACCCCGAAACUGCCCAGGGCUCUCCACAGGGAGGAGAGCAGUUCUGCCGGAGAGGCCCCAUUCAUCCCCAAGGUGGCCUCUUCUGCAGGGCUCUGCUUAGCUCCAGGACCCCCGGCAAAGCCUAAGGAAACAGCUUUGCAGCUGGUGGCACCGUCUGGUAUGGAGAGCAGGAGCGGCUCCCGUGCGGGGUUGACUGGAGGGGCCUGGGAGAGGCAGCUUUGAAGCAGGUCAGCGUGGUGACAGGGAGCCCUCCCCCGGUGCCAGGUCUCUAGACCCUUUUCAGCCUUGAAUCCUGGCUUCUUUUUUUCUAUUUCCUAUUCCAUUCAACUUCCUGGCUCAUACGGUAUCCUCUCUCCUAGCAAAGGUGCCUCAGACCCAGCUCACGUUUCCAGUUUCCAUCUUGCACCCCCGCCCCCCCAGGCUCUGACUGCGUCUCAGUUUUGCUGGAGUCUUUUACCAAACCCUGAAGUGGCAGCAUCUUCCCAACCCGAGCACAGAAGGGUGACCUGAGGGGCUGGGGGUGGGGGCUCUGAUGGAGGACUAGACCCCACAGUGAGGUGUGGCAAGAGUCAGAGUUCUCCCUAGCCGCAGGUGGGAACAGACCUAGCUCUGUACCCCAGCCCCCUCCUUUCCAAGUGCAUAUGAGCCCUGUGAGAGGUGGUUCUGCAGGUGAUGGAGAGAGGAGCAGAUGCCAGACAGGAUCUUCGUGGACAAUCCAGAGCAACGCACAGGCGGCCCUGGCCUUCAGGCCCAAGGCUGGCAUCAGGGACAUCUGAGGCUAAAACCAGAGGCAGGUAGAGAUCGGAAGCCCAGAAUGAUUUGUGAUGAUCAGGGUGUGUAUGUCACCAGCGCUGGCUAGGUCAGGAUUCUAGUUUUGUUUGGAGGGGGCAGAGCUGCAAGAGUGGACAAAGCCUCAGUCCUAGAAGGAAGAAGACCGAGACAGAGAUUCUGCCUGCCAGGGCAUCAGGCGGAAGGCCAGGUGCUGGGAUGGGGCCAGUGUCAGAGCUGGAUGAGCAAGAGUGAGACUGAGUAUUGUGAAAAUAAUAGUAUUAGUUAACACUUAAAUGGGCUUCCUUAGUAGGUCAAUGGUAAAGAAUCUGCCUGGCAAUGCAGGAGAUGCGGGUUUGCUCCCUGGGUCAGGAAGAUCCCCUGGA